Molecule: long non-coding RNA, 1530 nt
Filed under: Rattus norvegicus (Norway rat)
Lineage: Eukaryota; Metazoa; Chordata; Mammalia; Rodentia; Muridae
Description: long non-coding RNA NONRATT000212
Source: RNAcentral
CUUUAAUUACCCCACUGGACUCUGCUCUGUCUCAGAGUUGUAAAAUACAGAGUGGGGACAGACUGCCCGCCAUUUUCAGUGUCGCUAGGGAUGUUCUCGUGCUUUCUCAGUGGACCUUGCUCUGCCCAAGGCUGAGGUCACCUCCCCGUUGUUAAUGUUCUAGGUCCAGAUCCUUCCAUUUCUUGAUAGAACUCUAGAGGGAAAGUAUAGUGGGUGACUCAGUGACAGAUUCUGUCCUCUGGGAAAUGGGCUCGCAUCCUCUGAGGGCCUCUCUGGCAUGCGCAGUCCAGCCGUCCACAGCUUCAGGCUGGCUUUCCUUGCAGCUUCAAGAGUACAUCUUUCGAGGAAAGGAAAGAAUAACAGAAUAUAGAAGGCGUGGCUGAGGAGGCGGGCACAGCGUGCCCCCCUCAUGGUCACUUAGUCGCAUCACCUCUUUUAAUCAUGCCAGGUUAUCUGCCUUACACUCAGCCUACUCUGGCCAAAGGGAUGGAGGAGACCGUCACACCAAACGUAUCCUCCAAGUGUCUGAAAAGGAUGCUGGCUCAGCCAUGCUCUGCUGAGAGUGGAGGGCCCCACACUCCCACCCCCACCUAGUACUUGAUACUUGAAAUCUCUCGUGGAAUCAACCUGAGGAGCACGUGACAGGAUUAUUUUAAUCCCUGUUCUUUAAAGUCUUCAGUGCGACAGCAGGCGGCUGUGGCGUGUAACCCAGUAUCCCAGUGUUUACCUGUCCUGCGAACCCUUUACCGAACACGAUAAAAGACCCUGUAUUCUCUACACAAAUGACUACUUGUGUAGUUACAGAAUUUGUCAUGGGAAAGCCCAGCCUACAUCCGGGACUCCUUCACCAUAACCAGGAGCCACUUUUGGGCUAUCCCACUGGCAGCUCCUGUCCUGUUCGGGCUAAGAACAUGAUGAGUGUCCGGCUGAAGGAGGUGUGGGCUGGGUGUUGGUCAGAUUCUCUACCUGAGAGUCAAUGGCAGGCAAGCCGUGAAUGUCCCCUGUCCUAUGGUUGUGUGAUUUUUGAACUACCCGUGUGCACUGAUCUUUGGAUAUUGUUUGGCUUUUUAAGUGAGGAUCUUCCCGAUGGUAUCUAAUGUCGACAGUAUUCUUUAUUAAAUGGUGUUCUUCUUUAAGAGGCCCUUUGGGAUUUUCCCUGCAUUGUUCUGCUUCUCUCAAGCACAGGAGGAGAUCCUCGUGCCUCUUCAUUCUCUCUGGCAAGUUCUGCCGCCCUUCACCACCCGCAAGACUGUGAGACACCUGAAGUGGAAAAGGACUCUGUGGUCCCUAUGUGGCAGGGACACAGGUGGAAGGGGAAGCCAGCAUGGCUCAUCCGUGCAGGUGAAACGUACCUGUCCACCCUGCUCCCACCCCCGCUGCGUUUACAUGCUCAGCAGUUCCGUUUACAGCUCACUCCACUUUCACACUUCCUGUCUGUGUUUGAGACGGGCGGCCACUGUACAGAUAUUUAUUAUGCUUUCCAAACUUUCCCAUGAGAUUUUUUGAAUAAACAUGGAUUUUAUGAAGUGU